GAUCAUGGCUCAGGAUGAACGCUAGCGGCAGGCUUAACACAUGCAAGUCGAGGGGCAACGCGAGUAGCAAUACUUGGCGGCGACCGGCGCAAGGGUGCGUAACGCGUGAGCAACAUGCCCGUAUCAGGGGGAUAAUCCAGGGAAACUUGGUCUAAUACCCCAUAGUAAUUUUGUAAGGCAUCUUAUAAGAUUUAAAGCUUUGGUGGAUACGGAUUGGCUCGCGUGACAUUAGCUGGAUGGUAAGGUAACGGCUUACCAUGGCUACGAUGUCUAGGGGUUCUGAGAGGAAGGUCCCCCACACUGGAACUGAGACACGGUCCAGACUCCUACGGGAGGCAGCAGUGAGGAAUAUUGGACAAUGGAUGGAAAUCUGAUCCAGCCAUGCCGCGUGAAGGAAGAAGGUCCUAUGGAUUGUAAACUUCUUUUGUAUGGGAGCAAUAAGGCCUACGAGUAGGUUGAUGAGAGUACCAUACGAAUAAGCACCGGCUAACUCCGUGCCAGCCGCAGC
Molecule: ribosomal RNA, 508 nt
Filed under: uncultured bacterium
Lineage: Bacteria
Description: bacterial SSU rRNA
Rfam family: Bacterial small subunit ribosomal RNA
Source: RNAcentral